This 741-nucleotide small RNA is filed under the name Pan troglodytes (chimpanzee). RNAcentral describes it as "retained intron". Lineage: Eukaryota; Metazoa; Chordata; Mammalia; Primates; Hominidae. The record is from RNAcentral.
CUCUGCCUCCUCCACCACCACUGACAUCAGGAAGUCUGCAGGUGGCCGGACACCCGGCCGGGAGCACUUACUCAGAGCAAGACAUCUUGCGACAGGAACUGAACACUCGUUUUUUGGCCUCUCAGAGUGCUGACCGCGGGGCUUCCCUGGGCCCUCCGCCCUACCUGCGGACCGAGUUCCAUCAGCACCAGCACCAGCACCAGCACACCCACCAGCACACGCACCAGCACACCUUCACGCCGUUCCCCCACGCCAUCCCACCCACCGCCAUCAUGCCGACGCCAGCACCUCCCAUGCUCUUCCAUUCCUAUCCUCCUGCAGUGUCGGGCAUCCCCCCUAUGAUCCCACCCACUGGCCCUUUUGGUUCACUACAAGGAGCAUUUCAGCCGAAGACAUCCAACCCUAUCGAUGUCGCUGCUCGGCCUGGGACAGUCCCACACACUUUACUCCAAAAGGACCCGAGGGUACGUGCAAAGUCAGGCUUGGUCUCAGGUAACACCAGGGUGUGUGUGUUUGCACGGGACGGCCAGCCCAGUGCUCGCAUCUUCCUUAGCUCUUUUGAGCGAGCUGCUGUUUCAGCUGUUCUUCUAGUUUGUGGAAGAAAAUGCCAAUUACUCUUAGAAAACACAGUCUCUCCUGCUCACUGCGAGCAUAGGACACAAAGAGACCGACUUGCCGAUGGGAGAAAAGAGGAAUGAGUUACGGUCUGAGCCCAGAAAUUGGACAGUGUCAGCUUGUAUA